ACUGGGUGUGGUGGUGAACACCUGUAAUCCCAGCUACCUGGGAGCCUGAGGCAGGAUGUUACAUGUUCAAGGUGAACCUCAACAAUUUAGGAAGACCCUGUCUCAA
RNAcentral lists this small RNA (106 nucleotides) under Marmota monax (woodchuck). Lineage: Eukaryota; Metazoa; Chordata; Mammalia; Rodentia; Sciuridae. The record is from RNAcentral.